UCGCGGCUUAUCACCGGCAGUCCCCUUAGAGUGCCCAACUGAAUGAUGGCAACUAAGGGCGAGGGUUGCGCUCGUUGCGGGACUUAACCCAACAUCUCACGACACGAGCUGACGACAGCCAUGCAGCACCUGUGUUCCCGCCAGCCGAACUGAAGGAUCCCAUCUCUGGAACCCACACGGGACAUGUCAAGGGUCGGUAAGGUUCUGCGCGUUGCUUCGAAUUGAACCACAUGCUCCACCGCUUGUGCGGGCCCCCGUCAAUUUCUUUGAGUUUUAGCCUUGCGGCCGUACUCCCCAGGCGGGGCACUUAAUGCGUUAGCUGCGGCACAGGUGAUUACUCACCCACACCUAGCAUCCAUCGUUUAGGGCGUGGACUAC
RNAcentral lists this unclassified non-coding RNA (378 nucleotides) under uncultured Alphaproteobacteria bacterium. Its description in RNAcentral is "contains 16S-23S intergenic spacer region". Lineage: Bacteria; Pseudomonadati; Pseudomonadota; Alphaproteobacteria. The record is from RNAcentral.